Molecule: ribosomal RNA, 551 nt
Filed under: uncultured Acaulosporaceae
Lineage: Eukaryota; Fungi; Glomeromycota; Glomeromycetes; Diversisporales; Acaulosporaceae
Description: SSU rRNA
Rfam family: Eukaryotic small subunit ribosomal RNA
Source: RNAcentral
UUGGAGGGCAAGUCUGGUGCCAGCAGCCGCGGUAAUUCCAGCUCCAAUAGCGUAUAUUAAAGUUGUUGCAGUUAAAAAGCUCGUAGUUGAAUUUCGGAGUUUGUCGGUCGGCCGGGCUUCACUGUCCGCACUGGCAUGAUGGAUUCCUACCUUCUGAAUAACCAGCAUGCUAUUAAGUUAGUGCGUUGGGGAAGCAGAGCUAUUACCUUGAAAAAAUUAGAGUGCUUAAAGCAGGCUUAUGCUUGAAUAGAUUAGCAUGGAAUAAUAAAAUAGGACGGCAUGGUUCUAUUUUGUUGGUUUCUAGGAUCACCGUAAUGAUUAAUAGGGAUAGUUGGGGGCAUUAGUAUUCAAUUGUCAGAGGUGAAAUUCUUGGAUUUAUUGAAGACUAACCUCUGCGAAAGCAUUUGCCAAGGAUGUUUUCAUUAAUCAAGAACGAAAGUUAGGGGAUCGAAGACGAUCAGAUACCGUCGUAGUCUUAACCAUAAACUAUGCCGACUAGGGAUCGGACGAUGUUAAUUUUUUAAUGACUCGUUCGGCGCCUUACGGGAAAC